RNAcentral lists this ribosomal RNA (499 nucleotides) under Dihelus hylaevorus. Its description in RNAcentral is "partial 16S large subunit ribosomal RNA". Lineage: Eukaryota; Metazoa; Arthropoda; Insecta; Hymenoptera; Ichneumonidae. The record is from RNAcentral.
AUCUGCUCAUGAGAUCUAUUAAAUAGCUGCAGUAUUAUGACUGUACAAAGGUAGCAUAAUCAAUAGUUUUUUAAUUAAAAGCUGGAAUGAAAGAUUUGAUAAGGUAAAUAUUGUCUCAAAUUUAAUAAAAUUAUAAUUUUUAUUUUAGUUAAAAUACUAAAUUAAAUUUAAAAGACGAGAAGACCCUAUAGAUUUUUAUAAUUUAUAUUAAAAUUAAUUUAAUAAAAAUUUUUAAUUAUAAUAAAAAUUAUUUGAUUGGGGAAAUUAUUAAAUAUAUUAAAUUUUAAAUUUAUAUAUAUAUAUAUAUAUAUAUAUAUAUAUAUAUAUAUAUAUAUAUAUAUAUAUAUAUAUUAACAUUAAUUUAUGAAUAUUUGAUCUUAAUUAUAGAAUAUUAGAAUAAAAUACCUUAGGGAUAACAGCGUAAUAUUUUUAGAGAGAUCAUAUUGAUAAAAAAGUUUGCGACCUCGAUGUUGAAUUAAGAUUAAAUUUUAAAGGAGAA